UCCCUCCGAGUUAGCCUUCGGCAUCUCGUUCCCCUUUUGGUCUGUCUUUUUAGGGUUCUUUAGAUCCUCCCUUCGAAACUACCCAGAAUGUCUUCCGACUCUUCUGCUCCCGUCAGUUCUAAGAGUUCUUCUGCUUCGAACCCCCAGGUCGCUGCCUCUGCGGACGAGCCUGCGUCUGGGGCGGGGCCUCACCCGGUUUUUGCACCGGGCGCCAUUCCAUGUUCGUCGACUCUGGAUGAACUCCUUCUGACAAGGGUUCGGUAUGGGG
RNAcentral lists this long non-coding RNA (268 nucleotides) under Elaeis guineensis (African oil palm). Its description in RNAcentral is "long non-coding RNA (EGUI_LNC053244)". The record is from RNAcentral. Lineage: Eukaryota; Viridiplantae; Streptophyta; Magnoliopsida; Arecales; Arecaceae.